GAUUAACGCUAGCGGGAGGCAUAACACAUGCAAGUCGAGGGGCAUCGCGAGUAGCAAUACUUGGCGGCGACCGGCAGACGGGUGCGCAACGCGUAUGCAACCUACCUUAUGCUGGAGGAUAAUUCGGUGAAAAUCGGACUAAUACUUCAUAAUAAUAUCGUUAUGGCAUCAGAGGAUAUUUAAAGAUUUAUCGGCAUUAGAUGGGCAUGCGUAUCAUUAGGUUGUUGGCGAGGUAACGGCUCACCAAGCCUACGAUGAUUAGGGGUUCUGAGAGGAUUCACCCCCACACCGGCACUGAGACACGGGCCGGACUCCUACGGGAGGCAGCAGUGAGGAAUAUUGGACAAUGGGCGAGAGCCUGAUCCAGCCAUUCCGCGUGCAGGAUGACGGUCCUAUGGAUUGUAAACUGCUUUUUUACAAGAGCAAAAAGGGUUACGUGUAUCCCAUUGAGAGUACUGUAAGAAUAAG
This 468-nucleotide ribosomal RNA is filed under the name uncultured Bacteroidales bacterium. RNAcentral describes it as "bacterial SSU rRNA". It matches the Rfam family "Bacterial small subunit ribosomal RNA", at positions 28 to 490 of the family's 1533-position model. The record is from RNAcentral. Lineage: Bacteria; Pseudomonadati; Bacteroidota; Bacteroidia; Bacteroidales.